This is a small nucleolar RNA of Psammomys obesus (fat sand rat), 132 nucleotides long. RefSeq annotates it as small nucleolar RNA SNORA17. Lineage: Eukaryota; Metazoa; Chordata; Mammalia; Rodentia; Muridae. The transcript has a single exon. The record is from RefSeq and is a predicted model, not a curated record.
CCUUCCCCUUGAGGUGCUGCAGGUGUGGCUGAGGUGUCACAUGUGAAUCAGUAGGGGGCAGAGGGGAGAGAGGCUAUGCCCAUGCUCAGUGUUUAGACCCAUGAACAUCUGAAUGAUUAUUAGCCUAAUUCA